Molecule: long non-coding RNA, 1183 nt
Filed under: Panax ginseng (ginseng)
Lineage: Eukaryota; Viridiplantae; Streptophyta; Magnoliopsida; Apiales; Araliaceae
Description: long non-coding RNA (PGIN_LNC017042)
Source: RNAcentral
UGAAGAUGACCUCUCCUUAUCUCUAGUUGUAGAACUUUCUGUGAAAAUUCUAACUUUAUGUAAACAGUUAAUAUUUAAUGAAAUAUCAACUUCAUGCCUUAUUACUUCUGUGUGAACAUUUCUUGUCAAUAAUGGAUCAUCAAUCAACUUGAAAACUGUGCAAGUGCCUCUUAUUUUAAACCGUUAGUCAAUAAUUAAGCAAACUAUAUAACAGUUAAGAACAAUGAUAAUAUAAUCCGAACUCAACACUUGAACAAAAUAAAGUAAUGCAUACUUAUCAUUACCGAAGUGUGAGAUCGGUCAUAUGUGAAGUGAAUUCGGCUGAUCCUCCUUGUACCAUCAAGAUCUUGCUCACCACUCGGGGUAGAACAAGUAUAUAAGGACCAAGAUAUAAGGAUCAAGAUAUAAGGACCUUUGUCUACCACUCGGGGUCUGACAAAGUCUAAGAAUGACACUUGCCUACCACGAAGGGCCUGACAAAGUUAAAAGAUGACAUUAGUCUACCACGAAAGGCCUGACGAAGUCAAAAGGAUCACCUGCCGAAGAGGCUACCAUCGAAUGGUCAGCGAGUCCUCCCGAACCUCCUAUCGAAACCAAAAGAUGACAUUCGCCUACCACGAAGGGCCUGACGAAGUCUAAGUGGCGACAAUUGCCUACCCCGAAGGGCCUGACAAUGCGAAAGUGACUACAAUUGCCUACCCCGAAGGGCCUGACAAUGCCAAAUAGUGGCGACAAUUGCCUACCCCGAAGGGCCUGACAAUGCCAAAGUGACCACCUGCCGAAGAGGCUACCAUCGAAUGGUCAGCGAGUCCUCCCGAACCUCCUAACUCCGAGGUGGCAUUUGCUGUGCCUGUCAGAAUAUGGAUGAGCUACGGAAGUUCUUUAUGAAUGUUUUAAACUUCAAUCCCAUGAGCUGGCAUUUGUUAACCUGAUCCCUAGGCAAUGGACCCAGUACGACUACCCCCAGACAGCAAGAGGUAUAGGAGAUAAAAUCGAAAUAUAGCAUUUUGGUGGCUGAUGUGGGAUCGAACCAUUUGGCUGGCAAAUAUCCACAUGAACCCUCCAAACAACAUUUGCAGCUUCGGACGGCGCCCGAAAUUCCUCAAUAGUGGGAGAUGGGUCUAAAGUAGAAUACCCGAAGUCUUUCUGUGCUGAAUCCCCAGUUCUUUCAAGAAUAUCGNNN